AUUUGCAUUUUCUUUCUCCUUUCAUUAAAACCUAAUCACCUGCUCUUAAUUUCACCGUGUCAACUCCAAAUGUUUCAAACCCCAAUUUCACAUCCACCAUGAAUCAUUCUUCACAACCCGAAACACCUCCACCCUCUGAUUCCAUCACCUCGUCACAAUCCGAACCGCCACCAUCGUUUGAUUCCGCCGCCAAUCCAUCAUUUCCCGAACCAUCUCCAUCGUCCUAUUCCACCACGCUAUCCGAACCACAGUCACCACCUUCUUUGUUCCAUUCCUCAGAUACUCAAACCCCCGAACCAAGUGUUCGGUAAAAGUUCUGAACCGAGAUUCUUCUUCCUCUAUUUUGUGAUGAAAAUUUCGGAGUUGCUGUUAUGAAACAUUAAGUUAUCCAAGUUGAAUAGAAAAAUAUCAUUGCAUGUCUUAGCGACUGUGCCUCGUUCCGUUGGAGCUCUUUCCAGAAUACAAGUGCUUUGGUUUAAGAGUAGAAAUUGAAGUGCUAAUCAACAAAUGGGUUGAGGAUGCGAUUCUCAUUCUUCUUCAGACCAAAGUGAUGCCCAUUGUUGAUGCAAAAAGAGAAGGAGCAAUUGCAAUAUUUGGAGAAAAAUAUGGUUAAGAGUACAAGCUGAUGUGAAAGAGGAUAUAUUGAGCAUGGUGGUCGAUAGUCGGUGAUAGCUUCUCGUUCCACUCAAAUCACUAAAUGCAACCAUAAUCUACAUCUUGCAGAAAAACUAGGAAUUUGAAACACCUUUUUGUUGAAGGAACUCUACCACUAGAGCUUCUGAACCUUGUUCACAUAAAGUCUACGUAAGCACUAGGAGAAUUGGUUAUUUGGGGGUCUGAGAGUCUAGGUGCGAGGCAUUUGGAAUUGAUUUAGCAAGCUUGUUAGGAAGUUAUUAUUUUGGUAGGAGUUUUGAACUCCGAUUUAUUGCUUUCUACUGUUGUAGAGCUCUUGAGCUCAUCACUUUAUGUUCAAUAAUAUACUGUUGCAUCUUCAAUUUACUGAGUUCUAUCUUUCCGUGUCUGGCCUUUAAUUUGAAUUGUCGGUGCUACAAAGGAAACUUGUUUAGUCUAAUUUAAGGGCUUUGAAGGCGGUGGUGAGGAUUCAAGCACUAAUUAGGGGUAGGCAAGUGAGUAAGCAAGCUUGCAUGCAUUGGUUCGUGUUCAGGCUCGAGUGAGAGCUCGGCGGGUGAGGAUGUCUAUGGAGGGACAAACUGUGCAGAAUAUGCUUAAUGAGCAGUGUACAAACCUUGAACUUUUGAAGGAUGCUGAGGUUUGUAUCAUGAAUUGACAAUGGGAAGUUUUCAUGUUUUUUAGCUUUGGUGCUGUUUAAGGAGUAUGUUUUGUGUAUGGCAGGAAGGGUGGUGUGAUAGUAUUUGAGAUUUUUAGCAGCAAUACAGGCCAACCUCAAGCUCUAAUUCACAAACAACCGUCUCGUUUUCCUUUCUCAAGAAUCCUGAGAUGAAAAAAUAAUGGAGGAUGGAGUUGGUUGGAAAGAUGGAUGGCAUCCAAGCCUUGGGAGACAAGAUUGAUGGAACAAUCAUACACCUUAAACCCCUUUUCAGUAUUAUUCUUUGGAUAUCACUUACUUUAAGUCUAGUCUUGAUUCACACCUUUUGGAUCUUCUGUGGAAUAAAUAUUAGGUUGAAACACGGAAGCAUGGUAACAGUGCAGUUGGAGAUGGAGCUUUUUUAGAUUCAUCUGCUGCGUUUUCUGACAAAGUUGGUGAAUGGAACCCGGGGUUUGAGUUCAGUCCUAUUUCUGCAUCUCACAGCCUACAGCUAGGUUCGAAAGGUGAAUCAAGUGAAAAUGGAGAUGGGUUUACUAUGUUCAAUCAAACUUUUGGGAAGUUGACAAAUGCACAUUCAUGGCCAGGAUUAAAUCAAACUUUGGAAGCACCGAAAAAGGAUAAUAUAUAUCCCACUUCUAUAGAAGCACUCAAUGAUGAUGGUGGAGCUUCCCUUGGUACUGUUGAUCCAUCUCUUGCAUCACAAUCUCAUCAAUCUAAUGUGUGGGGCUUUGAUUUUAAUUUCAAAUCUAGUUCCAUGGCCGAAAACAAUCUAUUUUCAGAGUCAUACUCUGUAACGGAAAAAAGCCACGAUGAAAACAACAAAAGCAGUGCCUCUCCAGCCAGUGUAAAUGUUGAUUCAGAUGUCAAUUUGUUUGAAUCAAAAGACACAGUCACGGAAGUAGGAAUAAAAAAUGAGGUACUGAAUCAGUUUGAGUAAUUCAACUUGUAUACGUUUAAUUUUUUUUAUUAAGGAUAUUCAAUCUUGAGUUCUUAAACUCUGCUGCCAGAGCUUCCUUGCAGGUUAAUUCUUGUACUUAUUUUUGUGUUUGGCUUGCAAGUUACCACACUUAUUUUUAUGUGUUUUGAAUUGUGCGAUUGACUAAAAUGUGAUGAAUUAUCACAAAAGACUCUCUACCUUUAAUUUCAUGUUAUAUCCAAGCUAAGUUAGGUGAAUAUGGUUGAGAGAAUGCAUCACAUACAAUCAAAUGCAAAUAGCUUAUUUUUGUGUUUUUAUUAAACAAGCAAAUGUUUUUUGAUGUUUCUUUUUUCUCUGAAUAUUCUUUUGGUCGUUAUCUCUAGAUGUAAUGGAACUGUCUAAACUCAGAACACAUGUCGAGGGGUGAGAAUUUUUUUUAUCUUUGUAUAGCAUUAACAAGCUUCUAGCUUUUGUCAAACAGAAAAGUUCCUCUACUCUACUGAAAAUGGCAAGAGAUGAAGAACAUGGAAUUUUACUUUCUGCUAUACAAUAUGAAUGAAUAGUGACAGUUCCAACCAAACAUGAAAGUCUCACAAGAAUAGUUCUUAUUAAGUUAUAGUAUUUUAUUCCCUCAUAAAUCAUUUGACUGUUGAAAGUGAUAUGAACAAUAAUGGUUUGAACAGAACAUGAAUCUUAUCCUAAUAUUUGGUAUUGUGGUUAUUUAUUGACAGAUCCACAGUGGUUUCUCCAACUAAAUUGUUGGAUUCACACUCUAUUUAAUUCCAAAAUUCCAUGGGGUAAUGCGGGAAAACUGCCCCACAAACUCCAAUCCGUCGACGCGACCGUCCGCGGCAUUCCAACUAAAUUGUUUGUGUUUAUGGAUUAUUUGCACAGGUACAUAUUAGAAAGGAUAACUCAGCAGUCUCUUCUCAUAGAUAUUGGAGUCAAUCAACACAAGAGCCAGUCUCCUUGUUGGACCAAAGAGAUUAAUCCGUUGUGUAUUAAUUAACACUGAAUAUAUUGCAGGCUCUGAGUGAGAAAGGCUAUGAACUUGUUUCUGGUGGGACUGAAAAUCAUCUAGUUUUGGUGAAUAUGAAGAAAAAGGUAACCCGAUAACUACUUUGACUUUGCUUGAGAAGAUGAAGUCGGUGUACACGAAUGUAGAAGGUCUUCCUCCGGAUUGAAUUGUGGAAAACAAUUGCUUCUCCAGGGCGUGAUAUUUUGGCCAUGGAUGAAUCCAAUAGUACAUGUGGAAAGCGGUUAGAUUCAAUUGGACUAGAGAACAACCGAAGCUAACCGUCAAGCAUGGCGUAAAAUUAUAUAUGAAGAAAGUGUUAUGACUUGGUUAAAAUAUAAUUUUUAUGUGUAUGAUUUUAUAGUACUUGAAAUAUUAUGAAUGCACAUGAUUUUGUAUACUUUUGGUUAAUAUUAAAAAUAUUUUGACUUAGUUAAAAUA
Molecule: RNA transcript, 3660 nt
Organism: Vicia villosa (hairy vetch)
Lineage: Eukaryota; Viridiplantae; Streptophyta; Magnoliopsida; Fabales; Fabaceae
Exons: 6
Source: RefSeq, a predicted model, not a curated record